GUGAACGCUGGCGGUAGGCCUAACACAUGCAAGUCGAACGGCAGCACAGUAAGAGCUUGCUCUUACGGGUGGCGAGUGGCGGACGGGUGAGGAAUACAUCGGAAUCUACUUUUUCGUGGGGGAUAACGUAGGGAAACUUACGCUAAUACCGCAUACGACCUACGGGUGAAAGCAGGGGAUCUUCGGACCUUGCGCGAUUGAAUGAGCCGAUGUCGGAUUAGCUAGUUGGCGGGGUAAAGGCCCACCAAGGCGACGAUCCGUAGCUGGUCUGAGAGGAUGAUCAGCCACACUGGAACUGAGACACGGUCCAGACUCCUACGGGAGGCAGCAGUGGGGAAUAUUGGACAAUGGGCGCAAGCCUGAUCCAGCCAUACCGCGUGGGUGAAGAAGGCCUUCGGGUUGUAAAGCCCUUUUGUUGGGAAAGAAAAGCAGCAGGUUAAUACCCCGCUGUUCUGACGGUACCCAAAGAAUAAGCACCAGCUAACUUCGUG
RNAcentral lists this ribosomal RNA (491 nucleotides) under uncultured bacterium. RNAcentral describes it as "partial 16S ribosomal RNA". It matches the Rfam family "Bacterial small subunit ribosomal RNA", at positions 29 to 507 of the family's 1533-position model. The record is from RNAcentral.